RNAcentral lists this transfer RNA (113 nucleotides) under Hypoxylon rubiginosum. Its description in RNAcentral is "tRNA-Leu". It matches the Rfam family "tRNA". From Rfam's summary of the family: Transfer RNA (tRNA) molecules are approximately 80 nucleotides in length. Their secondary structure includes four short double-helical elements and three loops (D, anti-codon, and T loops). Further hydrogen bonds mediate the characteristic L-shaped molecular structure. tRNAs have two regions of fundamental functional importance: the anti-codon, which is responsible for specific mRNA codon recognition, and the 3' end, to which the tRNAs corresponding amino acid is attached (by aminoacyl-tRNA synthetases). tRNAs cope with the degeneracy of the genetic code in two manners: having more than one tRNA (with a specific anti-codon) for a particular amino acid; and 'wobble' base-pairing, i.e. permitting non-standard base-pairing at the 3rd anti-codon position. Lineage: Eukaryota; Fungi; Ascomycota; Sordariomycetes; Xylariales; Hypoxylaceae. The record is from RNAcentral.
GGGGAGAUGGCCGAGUGGUUAUGGCGCUGCGUUCAGGUUCAAACCUGGAUUCUAGAUUUCUAGCUAGUUUCGCAGUGGAGCAAUCCGCGUGGGUUCGAGUCCCACUCUCCUCA